Molecule: long non-coding RNA, 3985 nt
Filed under: Sus scrofa (pig)
Lineage: Eukaryota; Metazoa; Chordata; Mammalia; Artiodactyla; Suidae
Description: lncRNA (ENSSSCG00000045759.1)
Source: RNAcentral
ACGCCCCAUGAUGAGAGCAGAGCCCACCAGGAAGACAAGACUCCUUUCCUGGCAAGGAUUGAGCCUUGGCCUCCGCUUACCAUAGUCUUCCUGUUUCUUUUUCCCCUUUAUAGAAGCAUCCUCCCUCCCUUGCCCCAUGUGGGGACUUGCUUGUGGCUUGUCAUGGUUGCACACCCCAAACUGCUGUUCUCUGCUGAUCCAGAAUAUGCCCAUCAUUGCUGAAGAAAUAUCUGGCAGUAUAAUUGUUUUAGGUCAACACCACAAAAUCAUGAGACAUGGUUUAUUAUACAAUAAUAGAUAAUUAGAAUACUAUCUAAAAAGAUGGCUAUGGGAGUUCCCAUCAUGGCUCAGCAGAAAUGAAUCUGAUUGGCAUUCAUGAGGACGGAAGUUCAAUCCCUGGUCUCUCUCAGUGGGUUAAGGAUUCCGCAUUGCUAUGAGCUGUGGGGUAGGUCACAGACGAGACUCAGAUCCCACAUUGCUGUGGCUGCAGUGUAGGCUGGCAGCUGUAGCUCUGAUUUGACCUCUAGACUGGGAACCUCCAUGUGCCGCAGAUGCGGCCCUAAAAAAGACAAAAAAUAAUAAACAAAUAAAUUAAAGGAUGGCUCUGAUGGUCAAAAUGAAACUGUGGCUACAAAAGGACUUGUACACUGCAAAGCAACAUGUUUUGUCAAUGUUAUACAAAAGAACAGAGAUUGUCUCUAAAUACAGGUACUUACAAUUAUUAACUUUUGUGACAUCUGCCAUUACUGUUUAGGGACGCAAAGUCAAUUGCCAUCAAAUAACAGUGGUAGACGUGAAGAGAAAUACAUUGAGCUUCUAGUUCUUUACUUUGAUGGGGGCCAAGGCUUUGUGAGCAAGAGAUCUCCAGCUGAGAAAAGAAUAUAUCAUCAGGCUUUAAGUUAUUUAUUUCAUUAAGGAAUUUGGGGCAGUGAUUUCUUUUCCUAUGACUGUAUUCACCUUAGAGUAUUUUGAAACAAUCUCAAUUAACCAGAAUAGUCAAAGAACAUUGUACUCUAAUUGUCUGAAAAUUUCAUCAGGGCUUCUCAUCAAUCUUUCCAAAAUGCGGUAAGUUUCGUGUCUUAGUAAGUUGUUCAGGAAAUCCAAACUCUUCAAAAAAUUGUGAAAAAUUAAUUUAUUUAAAAAGUAGGAGUUCCUGCUGUGGUGCAGUGGGUUAAUGCUCUGGCCUUGUCUCUGUGAUGGCGCCAGUUUGAUCCCUGGCCCAGCAGUGGGUUAAGGAUCUAGCAUUCCUGAAACUGCGGCAUAGGUUGCAGCUACGGCUCAGAUUCGAUCCCUGGCCUGGGAACUUGCAUAUGCCCUGGGUGCGGCCAAAAAAAUAUAAAUUAAAAAAAUUUUAAGUUAAUUUAGGAGCUCCCAGGUGACUCAGUGCGUUAAGGAUCCAGCAUUGUUAUUGCUGUGGCUCAAGUUGCUGCUGUGGCAUGGGUUUGAUCUCUGGCCCAGAAAGGCGCAGCCAAAACAGAAACGAAACAAAAGUUAAUUUAUUGAGUGUUUGAAACUUAAAAUGCAUUUUCCCACUGAAAUAAUGCUAUAAAUGAUAAUAAGAUCCCAAGAGUCAGAGGCAACAGCAUUCCAAAGGUGCUAGAAUACUGCAUAAUUAUACAUUUUAAGGUCUAUAAAAAUUCCUGCAACCAAUUCCACGCUGUGAUCUUUUUCUUUUAAAGCCUCAUAACAUAUACUCAACCUGAUCAAACCCUUUUCUGUAAGAUCUGGGGAGCCCCCAGGCUGUGAAAGCCCAGUAGGAUGGCAGAUUGACAAGGACAAAGGCUGAGUCCCUGUUCCCUGUGUGUGUCCAGGGCUCCACACAGUUCUCAGCCCUCAAAUGCUGGCUGUCAUCCAGAAGCUGCACAGCACAGUGACAUGCUUCAGGUCAGAGAGACCUGGCUUUGAUUCUGCCCUGCCUCUUGCUUGUGGCAACAGUGGGCAAAGCUCAGCAUCUCUAAGCCUCAGUUCUCCAACCAUAAAAUGAGAAGCAAUAGCCUACCACGGGGGAGCAUUUUAUAUAAAGGGUUGGUAUCUCGCCUGGCACACAGGGCUCAAAAAGUGGCAGCAAUCAUGAUUACUAUUACUGAACCCAGACUUAUCCCACAUGUACCUCCCAGAGCAUCCGCUGCCCAGCAGUUCUGGGGGAUGGUGGAGAGCAGAGGAGAGGAGAUAAAUUACUUAUAUUUGACAUUUGGAUUAGUACAUGUCAGAGUUCCCGUCAUGGCGCAGUGGUUAACGAAUCCAACUAGGAACCAUGAGGUUGCAGGUUCCCUGGCUAGGGAUCUAAUCAGAGCUAUAGCUGCCGGCCUACACCACAGCCACAGCAACUGAGGAUCCACAGCUCACGGCAACGCCAGAUCCUUAGCCCACUGAGCGAGGCCAGGGAUCGAACCCGCAACCUUCGUUAACCACUGAGCCACAACAGGAACUCCAGAUUUCAGUUUAUUUUGUGCAAAACAAGAGAGCUAAUUAAUGUGAUCGCUAGGUUCCUUUCCAGCCCCGUGAUCGUGAAUUUCAGGAUUCCGAAAGGGGCUUGAAUUCUCUUAGAAAUUGCAUCUUAUGCCUACAAAUUGAGUGCAGAGAAAAAUUAAGGUUUAUUAAGGGUGUUAAUAAACUACUAUUUGUGUUAUCACUCACCAUUUGAGGGGGUCCCUGUUCUGGGGUUUUCUUUAAUGUCUUCACUCGAAAUUACUUGACUAUGUUACUGCUCCUAUAGCUGCUCACAUAAUGAAGGUAGCGCAAGGCUUUAACUCUUCCAGAACUCCUUGGUACAGAUUAAAGUAAUCUAACUAAGAGAGAGAAAGAGAGAGUGAGGUUGCAAUUUUUAGUACAUAAGAAGCUAAGGCGAAAAUAAUCAGCUGCUUUCCAGAUACACUGAAGUCAAAAUAACGACCUGAUGCACCCGUAUGAAAUAAGUAAAUUCACCGCUCCACAGUAGAGCAGAUCAGCCCUUCCUUUUUUUCUUGUCUCUUCCAUUGUCCUCGAAUCCAUCUGAUUAUUUUAAAAGUGUACUAGAAUCAGGAGUUCCCAUCAUGGCACAAUGGUAACAAACCCGACUAGUAUCCAUGAGGACACAGGUUCAAUCCCUGGCCUCACUCCGUGGGUUAAGGAUCCGGCAUUGCCGUGAGCUGUGGUGGUAGGUUGCAGACAUGGCUCGGAUCCUGCAUUGCUGUGGCUAUGGUGUAGGCUGGCAGCUGCAGCUCCAAUUCGAUCCCUAGCCUGGGAACUUCCUUAUGCUGUGGGUGUGGCCCUAAAAAGAAAAAGAAAGUGUUCUAGAAUUCUUUUUUUUUUUUUUUUUUAAGGGCACAUCAUUCAUUUAUUGUUUAAAGAUCUCAAGACAACACCUGAAUUUCUGUAGCACAAUUUAAAUGUUUUAUUCUUUUUGAUAAAGCAGAGUAUAAUAGAAAAAAAGAGUUUCCAGUAAUAUCUAUAUCUCUAUUCAGAAUUAAGUCUUCCACAGACAUGUUACCUGGAAACAAAUGCCUGUUACAAUAAGCAAAGCUUCAACCAGAGCUGCUACUUUUCAUGCCAGGAAAAAGUUCAUCCCUAUAGGAGGAAUGAUGUGCUAUGUAAAAUGGCUAUUAAGAUCACAGCCUUGAGGGCGCUGGAAGCAUAUUAUCCUAUUCUACAUUAAGUAGUUUUGUGAAUUUCAAACAUCUGUUUAUCUACAACCAAGCCGGCAACCUUUAACUGAUAUUUUAAUCAGGUAAAAAAUAAAUUAAAAAAAAAUCCCUAUGGAGUUCCCAUCGUGGCUCAGUGGUUAACGAAUCUAACUAAGAACCAUGAGGUUGUGGGUUCAAUCCCUGGCCUUGUUCAGUGGGUUAAGAAUCACAGCGUUGUCAUGAGCUGUAGUGUAGGUUGCAGACACAGCUUGGAUCCUGCGUUGCUGUAGCUGUGGUGUAGGCCGGUGGCUACAGCUCUAAUUCAACCCCUAGCCUGGGAACCUCCAUAUGCUGCGGAAUCGGCCCAAGAAAUGGCAAAAGAC